This is a long non-coding RNA of Papaver somniferum (opium poppy), 4722 nucleotides long. RefSeq lists it as uncharacterized. Lineage: Eukaryota; Viridiplantae; Streptophyta; Magnoliopsida; Ranunculales; Papaveraceae. The record is from RefSeq and is a predicted model, not a curated record. The transcript has 11 exons.
UCAAACUCAAAAUUCUAGGGAUUACUCUCGUUACCCGCUUUCUCCUUCUCUUUCUUCUCUUUCAGUGGUGGAAGUGAAAAUGUUUCGAUCCUUGUGGUGUAGAGUAGGAGCAAAUCUGCAAACUACGACCCCCAUAAAUGGGGUACCUUCUCCAUCAUCAUCUAGGUAUGUUUUCCUCACACAGCAGGAUUCGAAUGUUAUCAAUAGAACUAGGGUUAGUUCCAUACUAAUGGUAAUAAUGUUAGGUCAUAUUCUUCUUCUGAUUCAUUUGUAGUUAAUUAUCUGAAAAUGAAGCUAUUAAUGUCUCUCACAAAAUCAAAUUCAAAACCACAUCCCAACCAGAUUCAGUCUUAACAUUAUUUGAAAACUAUGGAUUCACUAAACUCCACAUUUCAAAACUCAUCACUAAGCGUCCAUCAAGUUUGUUGAUUGAUCCUCUUAAAACCCUAAAACCCAAUUUGGAUUUUUUCAAUUCUAAAGGGCUAGAUGGAAUAAAACUUUCCGAAGGACCCAAACGUUCUGACACUGAGCUUAAUCCCUUCAUUUGAUAUCCUUGAAAGCAUUUCGACCCUUUAGUCGAUGACUGAAGCCACUUGGAGAAAAAAAAUGGAUGUUUACAAGAGACGGGGUUGGUCUGAGGAUCACUUACAUACAGCAUUUAGGAAAUGUCCUUCUUGUAUGUUGGCUUCUGAGAAGAAGAUUACGGCAGUUAUGGAUUUCCUUGUGAAUGAAAUUGGUUAUGAUUCAUUGAUUAUUGCGGAAAAACCAUGGAUUUUCACUAACAGCUUGAAGGAGAGGAUUAUCCCUACUAGGUGCUCUGUUAUAAGAAUUUUAGUCUCAAAGGGUCUGAUUGAGGAAAAAAUUUCUCUGGUAUCACUUGGAAGCCUGACAGAUAAGUCCUUUUCGGAUAAGUGAAGCUCCUGCAUUAAUGAAGGUUUUCCGCGGUGAGAUGAAUAUGGGUCUAAUUAGGUUGAACGACUCCGCCUGUGUAGUUUCUACACAGCCUGUCCCAAGCCAGGAUAAAGGAGGAGGGGGUCGCGAUUGGCGUGGCUAGCAGGUGACUGACCAAAAGAGGGCGAAAAUAGUACUAAGAUGGGUGACCUCUUGGAGAAGUCCCCGUGUUAUAUUUUUUUUGGUUGAAAACCAGCCAUCCUUUGGAAAUGGCGAGAGCAGUACUCAGAGGAACCAUUGUGGUUUGAAGCAUUACUGGGGUCUCAGAGUCAGAGGACAGCACACGAAGACUACAAGUCGCAGGGGUAAGACUGUUGGUGUCUCCAAGAAGCGUUGAGGACUGUUGUGAUUCUUUUGAUCAGAGAAGUUAUUAUGGUCGAGAACUACUUAGCGACCCUGAAUAAGAAAACAUCUAUACUGUUUAACGCAACAAGUUUCAUGCAUCUGUAACAAUCGCUGAUGGCUACUAUAUGCCAAACCUGAGUAUAUCCCUGCCACUCUCUUUCAACUUAAUCAGCUAAGUUCCCAUUAAGACUUUCUUUUCUGCCCACCUUGAUUUUUGUGCUGUUCUUUAAUAUUUUCAAUCUUUAAUGAGGUUGUUAAUUGUAAUAUGGAUUGCAGAAUCUGGAGUAUCCCAACCUCGACUGUAGAAGAGAGGUCCAUUGACGAUUCGGUCUGAACCUCGUGUCAAUGCCAAGACAGCCAAGUUAAACAGUAUUUGUUAUCAUGGAAAAUUUUGAGCCACGUUGUGGCCAUUGUUUUCUGAUUGCUUAUAGAACCAGAAUGCUCUAUAGUCGUAAGCUUCACUAUAAGCAUCGCUAAAUUUCGCCAGUCCAGCUUCGAUUCUUUUCGGAGGAACAUAAACUUCAUUAGGAAAGUGUAAAGACCAGUCGGAAGAUGAUGAUCCGUGACUAACCAAUAAGGCUUAGGGAACCAUCAUGGUCUGAGGCAUUAUUGGUGUCUCAGAGUUCGUGGACAGCAUACCAAGACUACAGGUCGCGGAGGUAAGAUUGUUGGUGUCUCCAAGAAACGUCGAAGACUGGUUGUUAUUCUUUUGAUCUGAGAAGUUCUUAAGGGACCGUCUAUGAAUGUAGCAUCUGCAGCAAUCACUGCUGAGUGUUGGCAACUAUGCCAAACCUGAGUAUAUAGUUGUCCAUGAUGUAUUUCUUACAGCAAAUACCAUGUUGCCUUCUUUCAACUUGAUCAGCUAAGUGCCCCUUUAGAUCUUCUUUUCCGCCCACCUUGAUUUUUGUGUUCCUUAAUAUUUUUAAUCUUCAGCAAGAUUAUAUUUCUUAAUAUUGACUUGCAGAGCCUGGAGUAUUCAAACCUCUGACUGUGGAAGAUAGGUCCAUUGACCAUUCAGUCUGAGCCUCAUGGCGACACACGUAUAGCUUCGCCAAUGCAUGAGUUAUAGUAUAAUAUCUGCAAAGAUAGCCACAACAAAGCUUUUGAAUUAUAGAAUCGCAACGUUGUAUACGCCGGAAGCUUCAUUAUAAGCAAGCAUCACUAAAUCUCGCCAGUCCAGCUCCGAUUCUUUCCGUAGGAACACAAGCUUCGCAAGAUUAUGAUUUUUGAUUAAUCGAUUUCGCUUAGGGAACCUUCGUGGUCAGUGGACAGCACACCAAGACUACAGGUCGCAGGGGUACGACUGUUGGUGUCUCCAAGAAGCAUUGGAGACUGGUUGUUAUUCUUUUGACCGGAGAAGUUUUACGGGACCCUGAUCUCUACAGUUGAAAACAACAAGGUUCAUGGUAAACGUCAGCUUGUUCAGUACUUGUUCGUUGCUGGUAGAAGUGCUAUUGGCUGUCAGCUUGUUCAGUACUUGUUCGUUGCUGGUAGAGGCGCUAUUGGCUGUCAGCUUGUUCAGUACUUGUAGAAGCGCUACUGGCUGUCAGCUUGUUCGUUGCUUGUAGAAGCGCUAUUGGCUGGUAAAUGUCAGCUUGUUCAUUUAGUUUUUUUAUUCAGCAGUCUACUUGCCUUAGUAUUGUUGCUGAAGAAGAUAAAGGGUUCUGACCAAUUCACACUGAGGAUGCUGCUGAGAAAUCCAGUAUACUCUUUGGACGCUCACUGUGUGCGACCAUCCUAACAAUGUACUGGAUCUAUUAUCUAGAUGCCGUUUAUAGAUGCCAUGCUAAAACAUGAGUUUUACUUUUUAGACCGCUCAUGACACUCUUAUUUUUCAACCCUCGUACAUGAAUGUAGCAUCUGCAACAGUCACUUUCUGUGCACAUUGAUUGCUCCAUGAGAUUUGCAGUCUAGAGCAUCCGAAGUUUCCGAACUUCGACUGUGGAAGAGAGGAGGUUCAUUGACCAUUCAGUCUGAGCCUCAUGUCAGUGCCAAGUUAUAUACUAGUAUUUUUUCGAUCACUUAUAGGACCACAAUGCUGUAUAAGUCGCAAGCUUCAGUAAAUCUCAUCAGCCCAGCUUCGGUUCUUUCGCAAGGAACAUAAACUUCAUUAGGAAAGAGUUUAAGACCAGUCGGAAGAUUAUGAUCCCUGAUUAAUUAAUUAUGCAUUUGUGCAGGGACUAUCCCAUGGGGCCUUGAUACAGAAGAAACACGGAAAAUAGUCAAAUACAAACACGGGCUUAUUUACUAGGUCAGCUAUUGCGGUCGAUGGAUGGACGGACGGCAAGAAAGCUGCAGGUUAUGGGGCCAAAGCACAGGAUUUUCUUUCCAGAAAAACUCAUCUCUGUUAGCGAGGAAUUAACUUCUUUGGACUCGGAACGUUGGACUGUCUUGGAUGAUCAUAUUGGUUUCAGGUAUAGCCUUACCCUUCUUUCAUGUGGUGAAGACAGAUACACUGUGCAUCCGACUAAUCAAAUCACACUUUUCCAUCAUAAUUGUACUAUUAUCGGAUUAGGCUGCCAGCUUUUUGUCCUUAUAGUCCCAUGAUUAAAGGGAUGACAACAUUAGCUUUUAAGCAAUGUUUCCAACAGUUGUGUUUAGGAUUGAUUUCAUACUAGUCAUGGACCAUUAACAAAGUUGAGCCACAUAAAAUUUUAGUCGACCAGUUAGUCACUUAGUUGUCUGCGGACAACUUGCUAACCCCACGAGGUCCGAGCACACAAACUUGGAAAAAAAACUAGUUCCUGAGUACUUCAGAAACCAACAAAUAUUGAAUUUUUAGAUGAAACCGAACUUUUUAGAUAAACUACAUUAUGGCUCUCUACUGUGUUUGUUAUUGCACUGCAUGACCGGUAAGAAAGUUGAAUGCCGUAUAUAGACAAGACAAUCCAUUUUCAUUCAACGAAACGUUUGAACAAAAUACUUAAGACUGUACAUAGAGAUGAUCUAAGAGUUGAUUCGUCUCGGAUCAUCCUGAGUUCUAACACUUGCACUUAGAAUUUUUGUACAGCACUUGCAUGUUUUUGAAUAAUAUGGUUCUCAAGGGGUGGAUUUUCAUAGAAUGUGGCCAAAUUCUUUGGGAGGCCAUUGAGAGCUGCAAAUAAGGAGGUCAUUCUCAACAUUUCAACCUGUCAUCAGUACUACUACUACUACAUUAGUGAAUGCAGGUAUGGGCCGUGUGGGCCCCACAAAUAUGAAUGAGUAGAGCCCACAGUGCUCAGCAAUUCAACUGAUUUUUAUGGUUUUUUCUUCUGCAAGCUGCUGCUGGCAGUACUGCUGAUGAGUGAUGACUGGUGAUGUGAUGAGCAAAAAUGGUACUGCAUUUAUCGUGGUAUAUAGACAGUUCGAUGAAGAAGACAAAAAUUACUGUUUUUGUUUUCCUGGUCAUGGAAAAUGGAAAAAUUGAUUAUAUGAGAUUCAAACAGC